AGUGAACGCUGGCGGUAGGCCUAACACAUGCAAGUCGAACGGCAGCACAGUAAGAGCUUGCUCUUACGGGUGGCGAGUGGCGGACGGGUGAGGAAUACAUCGGAAUCUACUUUUUCGUGGGGGAUAACGUAGGGAAACUUACGCUAAUACCGCAUACGACCUACGGGUGAAAGCAGGGGAUCUUCGGACCUUGCGCGAUUGAAUGAGCCGAUGUCGGAUUAGCUAGUUGGCGGGGUAAAGGCCCACCAAGGCGACGAUCCGUAGCUGGUCUGAGAGGAUGAUCAGCCACACUGGAACUGAGACACAGUCCAGACUCCUACGGGAGGCAGCAGUGGGGAAUAUUGGACAAUGGGCGCAAGCCUGAUCCAGCCAUACCGCGUGGGUGAAGAAGGCCUUCGUGUUUUAAAGCCCUUUUGUUGGGAAAGAAAAGCAGCAGGUUAAUACCCCGCUGUUCUGACGGUACCCAAAGAAUAAGCACCGGCUAACUUCGUG
RNAcentral lists this ribosomal RNA (492 nucleotides) under uncultured bacterium. RNAcentral's name for it is "partial 16S ribosomal RNA". It matches the Rfam family "Bacterial small subunit ribosomal RNA", at positions 29 to 507 of the family's 1533-position model. The record is from RNAcentral.